UGGCUCAGAUUGAACGCUGGCGGCAGGCCUAACACACGCAAGUCGAGCGGAUGAAGGGAGCUUGCUCCUGGAUUCAGCGGCGGACGGGUGAGUAAUGCCUAGGAAUCUGCCUGGUAGUGGGGGAUAACGUCCGGAAACGGGCGCUAAUACCGCAUACGUCCUGAGGGAGAAAGUGGGGGAUCUUCGGACCUCACGCUAUCAGAUGAGCCUAGGUCGGAUUAGCUAGUUGGUGGGGUAAAGGCCUACCAAGGCGACGAUCCGUAACUGGUCUGAGAGGAUGAUCAGUCACACUGGAACUGAGACACGGUCCAGACUCCUACGGGAGGCAGCAGUGGGGAAUAUUGGACAAUGGGCGAAAGCCUGAUCCAGCCAUGCCGCGUGUGUGAAGAAGGUCUUCGGAUUGUAAAGCACUUUAAGUUGGGAGGAAGGGCAGUAAGUUAAUACCUUGCUGUUUUGACGUUACCAACAGAAUAAGCACCGGCUAACUUCGUGCCAGCAGCCGCGGUAAUACGAAGGGUGCAAGCGUUAAUCGGAAUUACUGGGCGUAAAGCGCGCGUAGGUGGUUCAGCAAGUUGGAUGUGAAAUCCCCGGGCUCAACCUGGGAACUGCAUCCAAAACUACUGAGCUAGAGUACGGUAGAGGGUGGUGGAAUUUCCUGUGUAGCGGUGAAAUGCGUAGAUAUAGGAAGGAACACCAGUGGCGAAGGCGACCACCUGGACUGAUACUGACACUGAGGUGCGAAAGCGUGGGGAGCAAAAAGGAUUAGAUACCCUGGUAGUCCACGCCGUAAACGAUGUCGACUAGCCGUUGGGAUCCUUGAGAUCUUAGUGGCGCAGCUAACGCGAUAAGUCGCCCGCCUGGGGAGUACGGCCGCAAGUUUAAAACUCAAAUGAAUGGGCGGGGGCCCGCACAAGCGGUGGAGCAUGUGGUUUAAUUCGAAGCAACGCGAAGAACCUUACCUGGCCUUGACAUGCUGAGAACUUUCCAGAGAUGGAUUGGUGCCUUCGGGAACUCAGACACAGGUGCUGCAUGGCUGUCGUUAGCUCGUGUCGUGAGAUGUUGGGUUAAGUCCCGUAACGAGCGCAACCCUUGUCCUUAGUUACCAGCACCUCGGGUGGGCACUCUAAGGAGACUGCCGGUGACAAACCGGAGGAAGGUGGGGAUGACGUCAAGUCAUCAUGGCCCUUACGGCCAGGGCUACACACGUGCUACAAUGGUCGGUACAAAGGGUUGCCAAGCCGCGAGGUGGAGCUAAUCCCAUAAAACCGAUCGUAGUCCGGAUCGCAGUCUGCAACUCGACUGCGUGAAGUCGGAAUCGCUAGUAAUCGUGAAUCAGAAUGUCACGGUGAAUACGUUCCCGGGCCUUGUACACACCGCCCGUCACACCAUGGGAGUGGGUUGCUCCAGAAGUAGCUAGUCUAACCGCAAGGGGGACGGUUACCACGGAGUGAUUCAUGACUGGGGUGAAGUCGUAACAAGGU
This 1481-nucleotide ribosomal RNA is filed under the name uncultured bacterium. Its description in RNAcentral is "16S ribosomal RNA". It matches the Rfam family "Bacterial small subunit ribosomal RNA". The record is from RNAcentral.